UCGGGAAUUUUGGGCAAUGGGCGAAACCCUGACCCAGCAACGCCGCGUGAAGGAUGAAGUAUUUCGGUAUGUAAACUUCGAAAGAAUAGGAAGAAUAAAUGACGGUACUAUUUAUAAGGUCCGGCUAACUACGUGCCAGCAGCCGCGGUAAUACGUAGGGACCAAGCGUUGUUCGGAUUUACUGGGCGUAAAGGGCGCGUAGGCGGCAUGACAAGUCACUUGUGAAAUCUCUGGGCUUAACCCAGAACGGCCAAGUGAUACUGUCGCGCUAGAGUGCAGAAGGGGCAAUCGGAAUUCUUGGUGUAGCAGUGAAAUGCGUAGAUAUCAAGAGGAACACCUGAGGUGAAGACGGGUUGCUGGGCUGACACUGACGCUGAGGCGCGAAAGCGUGGGGAGCAAACAGGAUUAGAU
This 411-nucleotide ribosomal RNA is filed under the name uncultured bacterium. RNAcentral describes it as "bacterial SSU rRNA". It matches the Rfam family "Bacterial small subunit ribosomal RNA", at positions 355 to 783 of the family's 1533-position model. The record is from RNAcentral.